UCUAGGUGUGGUGCUCCCCUCAUUAAGCAGCCUGGCGACAGGAGCGCAGAGUGUGUGUUUUCACACUGAUGCUCUGACACAGCAGCAGCCACUUCUUCACUUCCCUCUCCUCUUUGUUGUUCUGCUCUUCCUCUCUCCUCUUCCUCUCUCCUCUUCUGUUCUAUUUGCUCCCCUGCCAUGCUGCAAUGUGUUUUGUGUUGUGGGGAAGGCAGUGUGUUGGUGUGUAGGUGAGACUAGGAGCUGAUCUGUGUCUCUGUUGGUAUGGUUUGUUCACAGUGACAUCAUAGACAGCAUCAUCACUGGUUAACUCUAGACUAGUAGGAUUGCUUUAGUGAAACCCUGUUUUAUUGUCAGGUGCAAAACCAUAAUAACUAAGCUAAGCUAUCUAAUAGUUGGCCCGGUGUAUGAGUUUUAGCUCCUUGUACUGUAUGCUGGGACAUGUGUGAAUAGGUUUGUGCUCAUUGUACUGUAUGCUGGGACCUGUGUGAAUAGGUUUGUGCUCAUUGUACUGUAUGCUGGGACCUGUGUGAAUAGGUUUGUGCUCAUUGUACUGUAUGCUGGGACCUGUGUGAAUAGGUUUGUGCUCAGAAAACAGAGUGAAUAGACAUGGGUGAGAGAGCAAAAGGAGGAAUGAAAGUGUGGAGGAGAGUGAGAAACAUAGAGAAAGUGAGAGCAGGCAACAGGUGCUUGUGGGUAUUCCUGUGGAAGUGCUAAUUCGAUAAUGCUGUGGCCACUUUAUUGACCAGCCAGAGCGGUAUGGAUCUUAGGCCAGGGAUUGUGCUAGAAUGAGAUUGUGAAAACUCCAGCAGCAGGCUGU
Non-coding RNA from Salvelinus sp. IW2-2015, 817 nucleotides. The record is from RefSeq and is a predicted model, not a curated record. Lineage: Eukaryota; Metazoa; Chordata; Actinopteri; Salmoniformes; Salmonidae.